AGACUCAGUGAAAUUGAACUCGCUGUGAAGAUGCAGUGUACCCGCGGCAAGACGGAAAGACCCCGUGAACCUUUACUAUAGCUUGACACUGAACAUUGAGCCUUGAUGUGUAGGAUAGGUGGGAGGCUUUGAAGUGUGGACGCCAGUCUGCAUGGAGCCGGCCUUGAAAUACCACCCUUUAAUGUUUGAUGUUCUAACGUGGACCCGUGAUCCGGGUUGCGGACAGUGUCUGGUGGGUAGUUUGACUGGGGCGGUCUCCUCCUAAAGAGUAACGGAGGAGCACGAAGGUUGGCUAAUCCUGGUCGGACAUCAGGAGGUUAGUGCAAUGGCAUAAGCCAGCUUGACUGCGAGCGUGACGGCGCGAGCAGGUGCGAAAGCAGGUCAUAGUGAUCCGGUGGUUCUGAAUGGAAGGGCCAUCGCUCAACGGAUAAAAGGUACUCCGGGGAUAACAGGCUGAUACCGCCCAAGAGUUCAUAUCGACGGCGGUGUUUGGCACCUCGAUGUCGGCUCAUCACAUCCUGGGGCUGAAGUAGGUCCCAAGGGUAUGGCUGUUCGCCAUUUAAAGUGGUACGCGAGCUGGGUUUAGAACGUCGUGAGACAGUUCGGUCCCUAUCUGCCGUGGGCGCUGGAGAACUGAGGGGGGCUGCUCCUAGUACGAGAGGACCGGAGUGGACGCAUCACUGGUGUUCGGGUUGUCAUGCCAAUGGCACUGCCCGGUAGCUAAAUGCGGAAGAGAUAAGUGCUGAAAGCAUCUAAGCACGAAACUUGCCCCGAGAUGAGUUCUCCCUGAGACUUAGAGUCUCCUGAAGGAACGUUGAAGACGACGACGUUGAUAGGCCGGGUGUGUAAGCGCAGCGAUGCGUUGAGCUAACCGGUACUAAUGAACCGUGAGGCUUAACCUUACA
This 905-nucleotide ribosomal RNA is filed under the name Salmonella enterica. RNAcentral's name for it is "partial 23S ribosomal RNA". It matches the Rfam family "Bacterial large subunit ribosomal RNA", at positions 2029 to 2925 of the family's 2925-position model. The record is from RNAcentral. Lineage: Bacteria; Pseudomonadati; Pseudomonadota; Gammaproteobacteria; Enterobacterales; Enterobacteriaceae.